AUGGCCGGCAGGGAGGCCUCGGCGGCGCUGUCGUGCGGGCAGGUGGACUCCAAGCUCGCGCCGUGCGUGGCGUACGUGACGGGGAGGGCGUCCUCGAUCAGCAAGGAGUGCUGCUCCGGCGUGCAGGGGCUGAACGGCAUGGCCCGCAGCAGCUCGGACCGCAAGAUAGCGUGCAGGUGCCUCAAGAGCCUCGCCACCAGCAUCAAGUCCAUCAACAUGGGCAAGGUCUCCGGCGUGCCCGGCAAGUGCGGCGUCAGUGUGCCCUUCCCCAUCAGCAUGUCCACCAACUGCGACACGUAUGUUCUAACCUUUCGGUCUCCUGAUCCAAAUGCAUGCAUUUUUCAUCUUCUCGCGCAGCCGUCUAGUCCAGAUCUUGUGCAUAUUUCCAUGUGGUGCUACUCCAUAACCGUCUGUUUUCACGUUAUAAAAAGCAAACGGUUUUUUACACCAGGCCAAACAGUUGUUUUAAUCCAGCAUCCGAGCUAG
RNAcentral lists this ribosomal RNA (486 nucleotides) under Triticum aestivum (bread wheat). Its description in RNAcentral is "partial small subunit ribosomal RNA". Lineage: Eukaryota; Viridiplantae; Streptophyta; Magnoliopsida; Poales; Poaceae. The record is from RNAcentral.